Molecule: ribosomal RNA, 763 nt
Filed under: Austrochloritis nambucca
Lineage: Eukaryota; Metazoa; Mollusca; Gastropoda; Stylommatophora; Camaenidae
Description: partial large subunit ribosomal RNA
Source: RNAcentral
UUAAUUAAAAGAAAGUAAAUUAUAUUUCACGAAGUUGGGGGAGCUAGCUACCAUAUAUUUUUAGAUUAAAAAGUGUUGCAGAACCAAUUAAAUUGUAGCUAGGAGUGAUAGGCUUACCACACCCAACGAUAUCUUGUUGAUUUUUAAAUGUAUUAGUACAUAGACACUCUUAAAGUGAUAAGGCUUUAGGAGGCUUAUCAAUUUUUUAUAAAUUAACAUAUAUUGCUUAAUCGUUAAUAUAAUAUUAAUAUAAUAUUGAUGUAAUUUAAUUGUUUAUCGUAGAAAUCUAUAAUUAAAUUAAGAAGAUGUAACUAAUGUUAAUAUUAGUAACGUAAGAUAUUAAUAAUGAACUCGGCAAGAAGUCUUUCAACUGUUUAUCAAAAACAUAGCUAUUUGAAUUAAUAAAUAGUAUUUUCUGCUCAAUGAGUAUUUAAAUAGCCGCAGUACCCUGACUGUGCUAAGGUAGCGCAAUCAAUUGACUUUUAAAUGAAGUCCUGUAUGAAAGAAACUAUGGAGGGCUACUCUCUCAUUAAUAGAAAAUGAAUUUACUUAGGGAGUGUAAAUUCUUCUGUUCAAAUAAUAGACGAGAAGACCCUAGAAAUUUUAAGAAGGAACUUUUUGUUGGGGCAACAAAGUAGCAAAAGUAAUCUACUAUUAUUACUAGAAAAAAAUAGUUGGCAAGAUAAAAUUACUCUAGGGAUAACAGCAUAAUUUGGAAAAGUUUGUGACCUCGAUGUUGGAUUAGGGAAUUUUUGUUUAGAAG